Molecule: ribosomal RNA, 492 nt
Filed under: uncultured bacterium
Lineage: Bacteria
Description: bacterial SSU rRNA
Rfam family: Bacterial small subunit ribosomal RNA
Source: RNAcentral
AUUGAACGCUGGCGGCAUGCUUUACACAUGCAAGUCGAACGGCAGCGGGGACUUCGGUCCGCCGGCGAGUGGCGAACGGGUGAGUAAUGCAUCGGAACGUGCCUAUCAGUGGGGGAUAACGCUUCGAAAGGAGUGCUAAUACCGCAUAUUCUCUGAGGAGGAAAGUAGGGGACCUUAGGGCCUUGCGCUGAUAGAGCGGCCGAUGUCGGAUUAGCUAGUUGGUGAGGUAAAGGCUCACCAAGGCGACGAUCCGUAGCGGGUCUGAGAGGAUGAUCCGCCACACUGGGACUGAGACACGGCCCAGACUCCUACGGGAGGCAGCAGUGGGGAAUUUUGGACAAUGGGCGAAAGCCUGAUCCAGCCAUGCCGCGUGAGUGAAGAAGGCCUUCGGGUUGUAAAGCUCUUUCGGCCGGGAAGAAAUCGCAUGGGCUAAUACCCUGUGCGGAUGACGGUACCGGCAUAAGAAGCACCGGCUAACUACGUGCCAGCACG